Molecule: long non-coding RNA, 845 nt
Organism: Branchiostoma floridae (Florida lancelet)
Lineage: Eukaryota; Metazoa; Chordata; Leptocardii; Amphioxiformes; Branchiostomatidae
Exons: 2
Source: RefSeq, a predicted model, not a curated record
AUUUUAGAAAUUUUGAACGUCAGGUCCCAAAUAGUAAAAUGGCGUCUUUUCGACUUUUGUAAACAAAAGAGAAAACCGGUUUCAUCCGGUUCCGCUGUCAGCCGAUAGCACAUCAAACGCUUGGGUGUGUAAUGUUACAAAGCUUAGUGAAUUGCGAACUGCAGAUUCUGUUACAAAAUUCACGGGAAUAUAAAAUUGUUUCUACAAAUAGCGGAGAACGAAGUUUUUUCUUCAUUUUUUUAGUUAUUUUUUAGGACAGGACUAGACACGCCGGUUCGUGAAUCUUGAUUUGAAGACGCACUUUGUCGUGAGGUCAGUGUGCAUAGCAUUCUCCGUGUGCGGUAAGCUUCCGUGCAAAUGUUCAAAAUAUGAAUUUCACUUCACCAAGAAACUAAACUGGUGUUCUGUCGUUCAAUUGUGUGUCUGUAUGUCUAUGUGUGCGUGUGGAGUGAGAGAGAGAGGGGGAGAAUAUUAGACUUCCGUAGGAAAGGCCGGCCGGUUGUGUUUAUAUUACGGGCGGGCGGGCUCUACGCCGCCCCCGCUGAAUCUUGCAGCUGCGCCCGGCAGUCACGGUCACGGUAAGUUGGGUGAAUUUUCAUGGUGUUGCGGUUGCUAUGCUUUCGUCCGUGUUACCAUGCGUUUUAUUACUACUUCCAAUCCAUUCUAUAGUAUAAGGUAUAAUUUAAACAAAGAAAAUUGCGGGGCAAAGGACGCCAGUUUGAAGUUUACCAUGUGAUGUAAUGCCCAGCGUAUUACCGAUAUCGAUACAUUCGCCACGUCAAGCGCUGGUAUGGACCUAGUUCAUUUACAGAAUGACGAGAAUAUAAGGAGUUUGUUAUUUGAGA